RNAcentral lists this ribosomal RNA (253 nucleotides) under uncultured bacterium. Its description in RNAcentral is "partial 16S ribosomal RNA". It matches the Rfam family "Bacterial small subunit ribosomal RNA", at positions 524 to 776 of the family's 1533-position model. The record is from RNAcentral.
UACAGAGGGUGCAAGCGUUAUCCGGAAUGAUUGGGCGUAAAGCGUCUGUAGGCGGUUUUUUAAGUCCGCCGUGAAAUCCCAGGGCUCAACUCUGGACAGGCGGUGGAAACUGCCAAGCUGGAGUACGGUAGGGGCAGAGGGAAUUUCCGGUGGAGCGGUGAAAUGCGUAGAGAUCGGGAAGAACACCAACGGCGAAAGCACUCUGCUGGGCCGACACUGACACUGAGAGACGAAAGCUAGGGGAGCGAAUGGG